GACGAACGCUGGCGGCGUGCUUAACACAUGCAAGUCGAACGGAAAGGCCCUGCUUUUGUGGGGUGCUCGAGUGGCGAACGGGUGAGUAACACGUGAGUAACCUGCCCUUGACUUUGGGAUAACUUCAGGAAACUGGGGCUAAUACCGGAUAGGAGCUCCUGCUGCAUGGUGGGGGUUGGAAAGUUUCGGCGGUUGGGGAUGGACUCGCGGCUUAUCAGCUUGUUGGUGGGGUAGUGGCUUACCAAGGCUUUGACGGGUAGCCGGCCUGAGAGGGUGACCGGCCACAUUGGGACUGAGAUACGGCCCAGACUGCUACGGGAGGCAGCAGUGGAGAAUAUUGCACAAUGGGCGGAAGCCUGAUGCAGCUACGCCGCGUGCGGGAUGACGGCCUUCGGGUUGUAAACCGCUUUCGCCUGUGACGAAGCGUGAGUGACGGUAAUGGGUAAAGAAGCACCGGCUAACUACGUG
RNAcentral lists this ribosomal RNA (468 nucleotides) under uncultured bacterium. Its description in RNAcentral is "partial 16S ribosomal RNA". It matches the Rfam family "Bacterial small subunit ribosomal RNA", at positions 28 to 507 of the family's 1533-position model. The record is from RNAcentral.